RNAcentral lists this long non-coding RNA (1860 nucleotides) under Nicotiana benthamiana. RNAcentral describes it as "long non-coding RNA (NBEN_LNC034763)". The record is from RNAcentral. Lineage: Eukaryota; Viridiplantae; Streptophyta; Magnoliopsida; Solanales; Solanaceae.
GGCAUGAGCUCUAGUACAUUGACCUCUCGCAGACCUGAAAGUCAAGUUUUUGGCUAUUGAAAAAUCAAAUAAUAGAGACGAAGAAAGCCAUAUAGAUUCUCAAUAAGGGAGGAACUCGACCUCGGCCAGCCGGCCAGGAAUGAUGACCAAUUGCUUGAACCUCGGAUGAGGACAUGGAGGAAGAUGGGCCGGCCAGAGCCGCAGGCAGAAAUAAUAAGACUCAAACUUUCAAAGAUGCUGGGUGAAGGUGAAUCGCCUUCAAACUGAGGAUUCACAAUGACUUUGACUCAGACUUACCAUCCUCCAAGACAAAGGAGUAGCGGGGUUCGCUAGCCGACCUUGCCUGAAAGUACUUUUCUCUUACGGGGUAAAGAAUCGCUUCGCUUAAACUAAAGCUUUUUCUCUUGCUGGCUUUCCACCAUUCAAACUCCGGCCAGAGCCGCAGACAGUCAGUCACCUCCUUACUCAUAUAACUCUGCCUCUGAUCUGCCAAAACCUGCUACCGGGUGAUUAGAUACCAGCAUCUACACACGAGGUGCAGGGAGUAAGUGAGUACUCCAACUCAGUUAGUAAUAAAGGUAAAUAACAACUGAGCGGUAAGAAAUCACGUAUGACAAAUCACUAUGCUACAUAGAAGCAGUGUAAACCCUUUUGAGAAAAAUAGUGAAGCUACGAAAUCUUUAGCGAAACACCUUUGCUCACUUUAAAACCUCUUUAAAAAUGACAUCUUUCAACGGUUAUCAAGGAAUGACAGAGUAUCAGGUCUAUAUUGCGAGAAGUAGCACAAAAUAACAGAUAAUAGUAGACAAAUAAGAUAAUGUAAACACUUCAAACAGUACCAGUACCUGCUGCGGCGUGCAGCCUGCUCCACAUAUCGCUGUGGCAUGUAGCCCGAUCUAUUUAUUGUCUACAACACUCACUGGGGUGUGAAGACUCUGGGAGGGGCCCCUUACGGCCCAAGCGCAAUAUCAAUCCAUCUCGUGGCAUCAAAUCUAUGCCCUCGUCCUCAUAUCAGUAUCAGCAUAACACUGCUGCAGCGUGCAACCCGAUCCAUAUAUAUACUUAUUGUUGCGGCGUGCAGCUCGAUCCAAAAGCACCUCAUUAUACAGGCCCUCAGCCUUACUCAGUCAACAAAAAUUACAUAAGCCACUCGGGCAACAAUAAAGAUGAUGCUCAGCCUAAAAUAUUAUUUAGAAUAUCAUUUCAAGUGUUAAUGUAGAGUAAACUUGGCUGAGUUUCUGAAAAUAGUGGAAAAUACAUGACUAUGUUCAAGUAUAAAAUCUAAACAAUGAGGAAAUAUCAACAAUCAUCCUCGAAGGGGUUUAAAUAAUUUGGCACGAAGCUCAAAUAUGAAAAUCAGCCCAAGUCAUGAUGAAAACAAAUAAGCUCCACCCAAAUACACGGUAGAAUCAUCAAUCGGGACAUGCCAAGUCGCAAUCCCCAAUGGUGAUCUACCCCACGCUCGCUAUCCGCGUGCAAGUCACCUCAAUAUAACACUAUGAUGUGCAAUCAGGGGUCUCAAACCCAUAGGAUAUCAUUUACAAUCAUUACUCACCUCGAACCGGCAAAAUCUCUAGCUCGCGACGUCUUUGACUCUCAAUUCGGCCUCCACACGCAUCGAAUCUAUCCAAAAACAUAGCAAAUACAUCACAAUAUGCUAAGGGAACAAAGUCCAAGCGAAAACAAACAAUAACGGGCAAAAAUCCCGAAACUACCAAAACUCGAGGCACGGGUCCACUUCUCGAAACUCAAAAAUUUUUACAUCAUCGGGUUCCUUAUCUCUCCACAAGUCCAUUCAUAUAAAGAACACCAAAAUCGGAGUCCAAAUGACCGCUCAAAUCCCAAAUUACAAAUUCCAAA